This 254-nucleotide ribosomal RNA is filed under the name uncultured prokaryote. Its description in RNAcentral is "partial 16S ribosomal RNA". It matches the Rfam family "Bacterial small subunit ribosomal RNA", at positions 521 to 774 of the family's 1533-position model. The record is from RNAcentral.
UAAUACGUAGGGUGCAAGCGUUAAUCGGAAUUACUGGGCGUAAAGCGUGCGCAGGCGGUUCGGAAAGAAAGAUGUGAAAUCCCAGAGCUUAACUUUGGAACUGCAUUUUUAACUACCGAGCUAGAGUGUGUCAGAGGGAGGUGGAAUUCCGCGUGUAGCAGUGAAAUGCGUAGAUAUGCGGAGGAACACCGAUGGCGAAGGCAGCCUCCUGGGAUAACACUGACGCUCAUGCACGAAAGCGUGGGGAGCAAACA